AACGGUGCCGUCCUAACCCGACUUCCCGAAGGUGCCCAGUGAGUGUAAGGGGGAGGAGUACAGUGCGUCGGAUACAUCUGUUGAUAAAAGUGAAUUUUAAAGAGGCUUAUUAGCUCUAAGAUGACGUGAAGAAGUGACAUGACAUGUCUAAGUGACCGCAGAUUCCAGAAUGAGUCUCCAUCUUAGCGGUCUCAGUGGCUGCUUUGUGUGGGUUUUGCCCUGACAGAUGCUGAACGCGACAAGACGUGCAAAAUGCUGUAGUAAAAUUCAUAGUAAGAUGAGACUGCGGAAACUACUGCUGCUGCUGCCGCCACCGCCUCCUCCUCCUCCUCCUCCAGCGUCACUUCGUGUGUGGGUGUCCCCGUAAAGUGUCCCUGGAGGGCUGCGGACACCCCCUCCUCCCAGGGACAUCAGGGGGCCCGGCCGGCUAGUCUCGUCUCUCGCCGUCUCUCGUCUCGUCUCCCGGUGCUCUCUUGCCGAACGUGUCUCGUCUGUUGGAGUCUCGGAGUCUCACACUUUUUUUCUUUUUUCGCUCCGCGUCGAGGAACUCUCUUCUCUUCAUUAUUUUUCCUUUUUGUUUCUCUUUGAGGAAGGUCCAGUUACAAAUCUAUUAAGGAGAAGAUUUAUUAUUUAUUCAUCCAUAGUUAUUACACGAGAAGAUAAGCGUAAUCGUGAUUGAAAAUAGUUUAAAAAGAAAAGAAAAUAAGGGACUUUCCGAGUGCUAGAAAUCCAUCUCUUUAUCGACGAGUCCAAGACAAUUCAGUCAUCGAACUCGGUCGGUUGAGUAAGACAAGGUGCUGAGACUCCUUUCAAGUCACGUCCGAGAUCCUCCUCUUCCUCCUCCUCCUCCUCCUCCUCCUCCUCCUCCUCCUCCUCCUCCUCUUCCUUCGCCUCUUCCUUCGACGCGUCUGCUUUGAGCGAAGGAUCCCAGUUGCUUUAGGGCUGAGACGUCCUACUUGAAAGAAUAGAGAAGAAUAGGAAAAGAAACGGCAUUCAGGAGGAGAGGAAAAGAGAUUGGAAGUAAAGAAGAGGAGAGAAGAGAAAAGUAGAGAAAGAAGGAAAAGUGAAAUAAAAGGGAAGUAAAGAAGGAGAAGAAUAAACAACAAAGAAGGAAAGAAAAUAAGUGAAGAGAGACAAAGAAGGAGAGAAAAGAAGUGAAUAGAGACAAAGAAGGAGAGAAAAGAAGUGAAUAGAGACAAAGAAGGAGAGAAAAAGGAGUGAAUAGAGACACUGAAAGGAAAUGGAAUGAAAUUGAUUCGUUUUGUUUACACGAGAGAGUGAAAUCAGCUGGAACCCCGAGGGCCGCUCGAUCAGACCUCGACCAGAAGAGAAAGAGAGAGAGAGAGAGAGAAAGAGAGAAAGACAGUGUAUUGUUUUCGUCUUCGCGUGAAUUUCAACCCAACGCGAGCGGAUUUUCGCUAAACAAGACGCUAAAUAUCCCUCCAGAAGAAAGUCUGUGUGGAAUAUAUAAAAAAAGAGAGAGAGAAAUAAAAAAAAACAAUAACAGUGCUACAUAGAAAGGGAAUAAUUACUGAUAGAUACAAAAAUACAAUCUAAGGUUCAUGAUAAAGUCUUCCUUUUGAAUUCAUCUGUGAGUGUAGAACAUCCGUCCCCACGCCCUGCCCUUUCAUUGGUCCGUUCCCUGGCAUAGUCGUGCUGAUAAGAACCUUUAUUCUUCUAAGUUGUUCGAGAUAGAUUUUAUAGCUUUAUCUAUCUAUCUAUCUAUAUACAUAUAUGUGUGUGUGUGAAGAUAAGUGAAUAUAUACUCUACCCUCAUACCUUGAUGCUAUUUUAAAAGGUGCCCCUGAGUCCGUCCCUUGUUAUUAUCUUAUCGGUGUUUGUGAUUCGUUGGGUCAAAGUUCAGACAUCGGAGGAAGACCACUCAAGCAAGAGGAACAAACAAACAAGCAAAUAAAGUCUUCCUGGACGAGCCUCUUUCGCAGCCGAAACGGUUGAUAAAGAACAAGGAAAAGAUCCAAACGGAAUUGUAAGAAUUCAAGUCCUUUACUGCAAAGGAGCUUCUUUGUGAACCAGCUCCAACUUCCACCGCGUCCGACCUCCACCUCAAAUCCCACCACUUGUUCCAGCCGCUCCACCUAACUCCACCCAACCCCACAUAACCCCACACAACCUAACUCCACUACCCACUCCACCUAUCCACACCACCUAACCCCACUCAACCCAACUCCACAUCACCCAAACCCCACAACACCCCAACCCCACACCACCCACACCACACCACCCACCUCCACAUCCACCCACCACCCACACCACACCACCCACCCAAACGAAGCCAAGAUGACCACCAUCGAGUCAUCCCUCGUGCUAAGUCUCGACCGUCUGGCACAAGCGGCCUCGAGACCCGCCGAGAACGUGGAGGCGCUGAAGACCAUCGUGGCGAGGAUCCAUUCGAGGCUCAAGGUGCAAGGUAAGGAGGGAAG
Molecule: long non-coding RNA, 2441 nt
Filed under: Penaeus japonicus
Lineage: Eukaryota; Metazoa; Arthropoda; Malacostraca; Decapoda; Penaeidae
Description: uncharacterized LOC122257261
Source: RNAcentral